CCGCGGUAAUACGGAGGGUGCAAGCGUUAUCCGGAUUUACUGGGUUUAAAGGGUGCGCAGGCGGUAAAGUAAGUCAGUGGUGAAAGCUCACAGCUCAACUGUGAAACUGCCAUUGAUACUGCUAUACUUGAGUUUGGGAGAGGUAGGCGGAAUACAUCAUGUAGCGGUGAAAUGCAUAGAUAUGAUGUAGAACACCGAUUGCGAAGGCAGCUUACUAAACCAACACUGACGCUCAUGCACGAAAGCGUGG
Molecule: ribosomal RNA, 250 nt
Filed under: uncultured bacterium
Lineage: Bacteria
Description: partial 16S ribosomal RNA
Rfam family: Bacterial small subunit ribosomal RNA
Source: RNAcentral